Molecule: non-coding RNA, 6268 nt
Organism: Bactrocera oleae (olive fruit fly)
Lineage: Eukaryota; Metazoa; Arthropoda; Insecta; Diptera; Tephritidae
Source: RefSeq, a predicted model, not a curated record
AAAUAAUUAAGUUCGUUUACGAAUCAAAUAAUCAACUAUCUAACUUUUACACUUGUAAUAGUACUCUCGAAAUAAAAUGGACAGAUAUAAUAAUUUUGUUCAGCUAACGGUAAUUAUAACACCUAAAACUAAUCGAGAUAAAUAUAGAGUUAUACAUACAUACAUUUGUAUAUAAAUGAUUAAGAUGAGGAGACGAGUUGAAUCCCGGAUGAUUGAUUAUCCGUCCGUCAAAGCGACUUUCAUUAUCAACAUGAUAUUAAUGAGACUAGUUCGGUUCGGUUCUCUGAAUAUUUGGAAAAUAUCCAUUGGAUUAUAGGUAUAUUUCUCAGUUACUUUGUUUCGAAGUGUUCAUUCGGACUUUACCUUCCUUAUGUUACUUGGAUGUUGUUUACUAUUUUCCUCGGAUAUUUGCUUACGUGCUACGUAAAAAAAUAAUACAAUGAGUACACAGCUGAGAGCUUCGAAACUGAGCUAAAAGCGAAAACAACAAAGAAAAAAUCACGUCCGGUGAUUUUUUGAACAAAAUUCUUAUCGUUAUAUAUUUUUGUAUAAUGGACUUUAUUUAUGAUAAUGUUGAAAAUAUUUAUUAUUAAUAAGAUGAAAUAAAAUGUAAUUUUUUACAAUUACAUACACAUGUACAUACAUAUAAGUUGAAAUUAUAUUAUAUAAAAACCUAAUAGCGUCAGAGCUUCUCUAUUGAGAAAAGUGUAUAGCUAAUGGCCACAAUUGUCGCAAGAUUUUUAUUUAUAUAAGUAGAACUGGCUUGUUCAAUAUCAGUUCCAAAAUGUAUUCGACUGUAGUGACUUGUUCGUUAGUACUAUUGGCAACGCUAUCAGCGCACGUAGUGUCUGGUUAUACUCCAGCUGCUGUUCCACCUCCAAGAUGUAGACCAGGACUUAUUGUUGACUGCAACCAUCAAAACGAGGACCUGGUUUGGUGUAAGGAUGAAAAUAAUGAGUGUAAAACGAUUUUGAACUCAUGUCUUUUCGAUCAAGCCAACUGUGCGCGUUAUCGCCUCGGACGGCCACUACUCCAAUUAAUAUCGAAGGAAGAAUGUCAAAGAUUAUGUAUCAAUGAUUGUUCCAAUGCACCACAAGAAAUUAUUUGUACUCAUCGUGGUGGAAAAUAUUGCACAUUUCCCAGCCAUUGCGAAUGGACGAAGCAUUUAUGCAAUACGGGCGAAUUUUGGUUCCAAGAGGGUCAACUUCCCUGUGGUCCAAAUCCAGUUAAGUGCUUCCCUUAACUGUUGUACGUUUUUUGAAAGUUGAUUUUAAGAAAUGAAGUUUUAACUAACGAAACAAAAUAUAUGUAUAAGAGAUAUUCUUUUGCUCUUGAAAACCCAAAGUUUUCCAAUCAGUACAAUGGCGCAGCAAAAGAACACAUGCAAAACAGAAUAUGCAAGGGCUGCAAUAUAUGCCACAUCAACACCCAUGAGCUUGCUAUCAUAUACAUAUACACACAUACAUUUCGCUUAUAUAAUAUUUCUGUUUCUGAAAUUACAAUAGGUGUUUUAGCGCUCUUGCAUAUUUUGGAUUUUCGCAAUCGUGCAAUCUUGCAAGAGCAAGAGAAUAAACAAAGUUUGCGAAAUUGAAAUCACCUAACGGGUUUUAUAUACUGGACAAUAAUAAAGACCAUAUUUCGUAAAGAUGAUUUUUCAUAUAAACAAGUUUUCCAUGCAAGGACUUAAUUUUCAUCGAUCAGUUCGUAUGGCCGUUAUAUGCUAUAGUGGUACGAUUUCGGUGGUUCCGACAGUCUCUUGGAGUAGAAAGGACAUGCGCAAAAUUUCAGAUCGAUAUCUCAAAAACUGAGGGACUAAUUCGUGUAUAUACAGCCCGACAGACGGACGAAUAUGGCUAAAUCGACUCAGUUUGUCACGCGGAAAAAUUAUAUAUAAAUUUUAUAGGGUCUCCGACGUUUCCUUCCGAGUGUUACAAACGUCGUGAAAAACUUAUUAUUCUCUGUUCAGGAUAUAACCAGUAAGGAGGCGCUAAGUUCGGGUAUAACCGAACAUUUUACACUCUCAUAAUUUGCAAGGAUCAAAGCAAUUAAACUUUAAAAUGAACAAUUAAAUUAAAUGAAUUUAUUAAAUAAGUAAGGAACGGCUAAGUUCGGGUGUAACCGAGCCCUUUAUAGUAUCGAAAUACUUUAUAUUGAAAUAUAAUAUUUAGUGUAAAAAUUCACACGAUUUUAUCUUUAUAGUAAGAAUGGGGCUUCGAAAAAUACUGUUUUGAUUUUACCUAUUUUUGACACGAGUAUUUCAAUACAAGAUCUCACGGAUCGACCGACAUUUGGAGGUUUAAAAAGUUAUAGUCCGAUUUCGACAAUUUUUAGACGAGAUAUCAAAUACCUUAAAGCCACUAUUUGUGCAAAGUUUUAUUUCAUCAGUUUUGCCAAGGCAUAAAAUAACAAGACUGAGGAUGAAGAAUGGAAAAAAUUUAUUUUUUCAGAUGAGUACAAAUUGUUAUAUGGUCCGGCCUAAAGCGCUAAAUAUGUUUCGUUUCUACCAAAAUGAACUCAGAGUAUUACGUGUAGCUGUUGAAUAAAGUUUUGUUGAAGAUUUUGUUGAUCCUGCGUUCCUUCUUGGCAGGCUAACGCAGCGAUUCAUUGGACAAAGAAAACUAAAGAGUUUUGUAAUCUAAUGGCUCCAUCACAUAUUCGGACAGAAGUUUUCCUAAUAUUAGUGUGCACCAGACAUAAAAACAAAAAAGUAGAAUGUGCUGUUCGAUUCGAUUAUCGUCUACAUAACUGAAAAAGAAAACUUAACUCUUUUAAAUAAAUACAUAAGCUGUCAAUUAAAAAAAAAAAAACAAAACAACGAAUAAUCGGACAAAACAUUUUGACAAACCUCAGGCUCUAUGGAAUUCCAAGCCCUUAAUAAAGCCUCCUUUAGCUGACCUAAAGUCUUAUUAAUUCCUCCCACAAAUGAUCGAUUGAAGUUAGGGCUCUGCGCUGGUCUUUGUAUUAGUUUGGUGAGGUUUGGCAGUUGUGUAUUAACCAAAGCUUUGCAAUGCCCUAAAUGUGCUUGGAGUUGUUGUCCUAAUAGAAAGCAAAAUUGUUCACGAUACCCAACUUCUCCGCACUUUGCUUAACAUUUUCUUUCAAAACAUUGAAAUAGCCUUUGUCCAUUUUACCAUCAAUACAAUGGAGGAGUUGCUUACUCCAGCACUCAACAUAUAGCUCCAAACCCAAUAAAUGUUAUUAACAUUCUUUGGUGUAUUGUAACUCAGAUAUUGUAUGGCAAGCCAAGUAACAGUGUGAACAUUAAAAAAAUGUAUUCCGAAUCUCAAUCACCGGCAAGCAAGCCGAAAGUGUUGUGGAUAAAAAGAAAUUCGUUAUACUUUGGAAUAUGACCACAUUAUUAAUUUGCAUUCCGAAACAAUUCGAAACGGUCUGAGAAAAAGCAGUUUUCUUAGGUACGUAAGCGAAAAAAACCUAUUUAUAGGAGAAAUUGACAAAAAAAAUAACUCUACUUCUUAGUACCGAAAUACCGACAAAUCAAGGAAAUUUAUCGUAUAGUGGUAAAAACAAGUUUAACUUAUUCGGUUGUGAUGGCGAACAAAAAUUUUAGUGCCAAGCGAACGAAGAACUUCUGUUGAAAAAUAUAUUAUAUGUACAAUAGAUAGCUGUGUUGAUUAGGAGAUCUCGGCAAGCAAAUUGGAUCUUGAUGGCGCCUAAUAUUUCCAUCAGGAUAUUGACCAAAAGCACACAAGCCAUAUUUUCAAGGAGUGUUCACUUUACAAUGUACCCAAACAGCUCCAUUCGCCACCACAGUCACCGAAACUUAACCCGACAGAAAAUUUGAGGUAUAAAUUAAAGCAGUGUUUUUCAAUCUUUUUGAUUUCGCGACCCCUUUACAGGUUGAAAUAUUCUGGCGACCCCCUUGUGUCAUAGUAAGUCAAAGAAAUAAUUUAAUUUUAAUUAAAAGACUACAUACGUUAGGUAAUAAGUUUUUCCUAUUUUGGCAAAUUUAUCUAUUAUUCGCGCGGGUCAUACUGCAUCGGCGACGGCGACGUUGCCACACCGCAAGACAUGAUUGUCGUUGCCGUAACAGCGUAAAAAUAUAAAAUGGAUAAAUUUCUCAAAAGAUCGCAGCCUUCAACAUCUGGUACGAGUAUCAAUAGCGGUGGUGGUGAAUCGAAUCCGAAAAAAAAUAGACAUUAUGAUGACAGUUAUUUGAAAUACGGGUUCAUAGUCGUAAAUAAUAAACAUCAAUGUGUAAUUUGCGGCGAUGUUUUAUCACGUGAGAGUAUGAAACCGUAAAAGCGUAUGCGGCAUCUCACAACCAAGGAUCAAAAAGAAGCUGAUAAGCCGUGGGAUUUCUUUGAACAAAAGUUGAAAGCUCUUAGUCAGCAGCAAAAUACUAUAAUUAAGGCAUCCAGUGUCAACGAUCAACGUUAUUAGCUAGCUACAAAGUCGCAUAUCGAGUUGCUAAAGCAGGGAAACCACAUACAAUUGCCGAAAAUCUUAUUUUGCUAGCGGCACUCGAUAUGGUGGAAAUUAUAGUCAGUAAGCAGGAGGCAAACAAAUUUAAAAAAAUACAACUUUCUGACAAUACUAUUUCACGCAGAAUAAACGAUAUGGCCAAGGAUAUUCAAGAACAAGUAGUCGAAAAAUUAAAGAAUAGCCAACAUUUUGCCUUGCAGUUCGAUGGAUCUACAGAUGUUUCCGACUGUGCACAGUUUGUAGUAUUUGUGCGCUUUGAAGCAGAUGACAGUAUUACGGAAGAAAUCUUAUUUUGCAAAGCACUUCCUGCAAACACUGCUGGCCAGUGUUUGUACGAUAUGUUUUUAGAAAGCACUUGCGACUACGAUAUUGAUUGGAAAAAAUGUAUCGCUAUUUGUAGCGAUGGAGCUAAAGCUAUGACUGGCAAAAAUAGCGGACUCAUUGCAAAAUUAAAAUCGAUAAUACCAAACAUAUCCUGGACACGUUAAAUGAUGUGCUCAAGGAGGUAAUAAAAAUUGUGAAUUCUAUCAAAGGUAAAGCUUUGCAAACCCGGCUAUUCAGAAUCGUUUGUGAAGAUAUGGGCUCGCUUUAUCAAAAUCUCCUUUAUCACACAGAGAUCAGGUGGCUAUCCAAAGGUAUUGACAAGAGUUCUGGAACUGAGAGCUGAAUUGUUAAUGUUCUUACAAGAUGCAAAAUCAGAAUAUGCUUACCGUUUUUCUGACCCUAUUUGGCUCUUGAAAUUAGCAUUUUUGGCAGAUCUUUUUAGCCACCUAAACAAUUUGAACAAGAACCUUCAAGGAAGAGAAGAAAAGAUUUUAACAGCUAAAGAUAAUGUAAAAGCAUUUCACGCAAAACUUCGUUUGUGGUCGACCUCUCUGCAAAACAAAAUGUUUGAGUCUUUUCCGUGUGCUCAGAAGAUUGUUGAAGAUAAUGCAUCAGACCAAAGUUUUGCAGUAUCGGCUCAUAUUCCUUGCAUGAUACAAAGCUUGCAUAAUUUACAAGAUAAACUUUUGACAUACUUUCCAGACUUGCACUCUGAAGCUGACAAUGGGUGUGAUGGAUUUUAAGCCCUUUUUUGGACAAAUCAAUAAAUCUGGCUGAUGUCAACACAAAAAUGAAAGAAUGUCUUCUAGAAUUAGCUACUGAUGGCAUGCUUAAAAUGGAAUUUUAUUCGCAAAUUGUCGACGUAUUUCGGAUGAAAAGAAAACACGAAUAUCCAGAGCUGGCAAGGGAAGCUCUUAAAUUAUUAGUGCCAUUCGCCACUUCAUACUGACAUUUUCUUCAAUGGUAGACAUUAAAACUAAAAAGAGAAAUAGACUGCAAUUAGAAAAUGAUUAAAUUAUUAAUGUUUCAAAAAUAACACCACAAUUUGAUAAAUUAAUAAAAAAUAAACAAGCAUAUCUUUCUCAUUAAAAUUGUGUUUUUGUUGUGUAAGAACCUCGACUUUUUCUUUCAGCUGGCGACUCCCCGAGUAAGGCUUUGCGACCCCCUUAGGGGUCGCGACCCACAGAUUGAAAAAAACUGAACUAAAGUAUCGCAUACAGGAAUAAACAGGAACUAAAGGAUGGUUUGCUGUAUGAGUGGAACCAAAUAACGGCUGAAACCAUAAAAAAUGUCGUACUUUCCAUGAACAAUCGGUUGGAGACGUUAGUACAGGCAAAGGAAACCCAAAUAACUAGUAAUAAGUAAUAUAUGUUAAUAGAUGUAAACUUUUCUGCAAAUCAAACUUAAGUGCAUUCUUGUUAGGUGUACGUAUGAUUUUCUGCGCUAAAGCAUUUUAUUUUAUAUUUAUAAAAUCAAAUAAAUAUUUGUGUUCUUAAACAUA